GAAUGGUUUGCCAAAGAUGACAAAACUAACAAGGGGAUUCCAGCCGGCUGGCUGCCCAGCCUGCGUCUUUCAUCAUCUCACUUCGCUGUUCAGAAGAGAAUGCAGCUGAUGAGAUACCUCCUCCUGGACACCAUCUCUUGGAAAUGCAGGACAGCGCGUGGAGAGGCUACACAUAGAUCUGCUGGUUUAGACCACAAAAGGCUCUUCAGGCCUCGUCUCCUCCACCAGCUCCGAGUCCUGACUGCAGUUCUCACUCUGCCCUACCCCCCGCACCUUCCACGACUCUCUGGGCUUGCAUGCUUUGUUUGACAUUCUCAGAAACAUAUCCGCCAUCGAACACACACACGCACGCUGCCCAGCCCGCUGCCUUACGGGUUCUGCAACUUACUCACAAGCAUCUGUUGGUAAUAAGGCAGAGCCCGGGCCUGCCUCCUUCUGCCUGCUGCUGCCACAGCCCCCCUGCCUCUGAAAGCUGCCGCUGUAACGGGGCGGGCAGACGGGGCAGCCCGCCUGCUUCUACGGCCUCAUCACCUUCCGCACGUCCGCCCCAGGAGUGAAGGAGUGGGCGCCUGGGCGCGGCUCUCGGAAGCUGCUCUUCGCUCCCUCCCAGGGCACCUGCGUCCUGAACAGCAGAGCGCUCUGUGCCGGCUGCAGUCAGGACCCACUGAUGUUUAAACAGGUUUUGCCAGGCCCUGCUGAAAAGGAGCAUCUCUGAGGGCCUCCAGGUCUCCACAGACGGAGCCCGCGAGCAGCGUGGGUGGCUGAGGGGACUGAACCGCAGCAGGGACCGUGCCUGCUGCCCACGGGCUGUCCCUGGAGCUCGUCUCAGGCCUCUCUUUUCCCGUCAAGGUUACUGAGGAGCCCCAGGUCAUUCGGACACGGUCCUGGAGCCUCAGGAGCUCUUCCUUCUCCCUCAGCUCCAUCCGCGAGUCCAGGGUGAACGGUUUUCCUUCCGUCUCACCUGGCCCCCAGGUCUCCCCCUCGUCCGGGAGUCUGUUCUGACAAGCUUGGGCUGACACCCCUCUGACGGGCCCGUGUCUGCGCGCUGCGCGGUCCGCCGACUCCUGCGCCUCCUGCCCACGGACGGCACGGCGGCUGGUCUGGAAUGUCUCGCUCUUUACGAAUCUCCUCGUUCUUCUGACCCACCUGACCCCCAGGGGUCACGCUUCCUUUCUGGAACUCCGAGUUGUUCCACUGACCUUCCC
This 1205-nucleotide long non-coding RNA is filed under the name Equus asinus (donkey). Its description in RNAcentral is "lncRNA (ENSEASG00005029728.1)". Lineage: Eukaryota; Metazoa; Chordata; Mammalia; Perissodactyla; Equidae. The record is from RNAcentral.